AUCCCUCGAGGUGGUAAAUUUCGUUGCAACCACGCACCUUCGCGGUCAAAAAGAGAUGCAGGAGAGGCGACGCCUGCCGAGGGAU
This 85-nucleotide non-coding RNA is filed under the name unclassified sequences. RNAcentral's name for it is "skipping-rope RNA". It matches the Rfam family "skipping-rope RNA". From Rfam's summary of the family: Firmicutes, Fusobacteria, AlphaProteobacteria, Spirochaetes. Downstream gene The record is from Rfam by way of RNAcentral.